Gallus gallus (chicken) is the source of this 458-nucleotide long non-coding RNA. Lineage: Eukaryota; Metazoa; Chordata; Aves; Galliformes; Phasianidae. The record is from Ensembl.
CGCUCUUGUCUCAUUGCCCAGGACAGCUAGGAUGACGCAACGAGCUCUCUGUAUAAGUCCUUUGCAAAGGAAGGCAUGGCUGGAGAGCCUGGAGGGGUGUCUCGUAGCUGAAAGGGCUGAAAGUCUGGAGCCAAACCCUGAGAAUGAUCUUCAGGGGGAAAGAAAUCGAGACCCUGUGUUUAAAACUCAAAAACUGCUUUGAUUAGUCAACAUAUUCAUCUUCUGUGAUGGGAAUAAAGUUUGUAAUCACAAACGAGCAAAAGCACUUUUAAGUAUUUAUUAAAACCCACUCCAGGUUAACAACCUGCGAGUGGCCAUCCUGCCAAUUCUAUUCUUAACCCAAAAGAAAUGAUGCACUAUUUGCCGUAGGGGUAAUAAAACCAGUUUUUCCCCUCCCUGGAAAUACACUUGGAUUUGCCCAACAGGCAUAGCAGGAUCAGCAGUGACUUCUGAUGCUU